AAUGAACGCUGGCGGCAUGCCUAACACAUGCAAGUCGAGCGGAAGCAUGACCUGGUUUUUUAGGUUGAUGGCGAGUGGCACACGGGUGAGUAAUGUGGCGGAACUUGCCUUAUGUCGGGGGUUACCGUAGCGAACCUUACGCAAUUACCGCAUAUUCACUGAGCAGCAAAGCACCGGACCUACGGGCGUUGUUCUAGACAAGUAUAGGCUGGUGGAUUAGCGAGUUGGUGAGGUUAAGGCUCACCAAGGCAACGAUCCGUAGCGGGUCUGAGAGGAUGAUCCGCCACACUGGGACUGAGACACGGUCCAGACUCCUACGGGAGGCAGCAGUGGGGAAUUUUGGACAAUGGGCGCAAGCCUGAUGCAGCCACGCCGCGUGAGUGAAGAAGGCCUUCGGGUCGUAAAGCUCUGUCGGCUGGGAAGAAAUCGCACCCUCUAAUACAGGCUGUGGAUGACGGUACCAACAGAGGAAGCACCGGCUAACUACGUG
This 490-nucleotide ribosomal RNA is filed under the name uncultured bacterium. RNAcentral describes it as "partial 16S ribosomal RNA". It matches the Rfam family "Bacterial small subunit ribosomal RNA", at positions 29 to 507 of the family's 1533-position model. The record is from RNAcentral.